Molecule: long non-coding RNA, 526 nt
Filed under: Vigna radiata
Lineage: Eukaryota; Viridiplantae; Streptophyta; Magnoliopsida; Fabales; Fabaceae
Description: long non-coding RNA (VRAD_LNC004647)
Source: RNAcentral
UGUCCUUGCAGCAUGCUACAAGGCUUUGAAUGAUCACCAUGUUCUUCUUGAGGGAACUCUAUUGAAGCCAAACAUGGUGACACCUGGAUCUAAAUCUGCAAAGGUUGCUCCUGAAGUGGUUGCUGAACACACUGUUAGAGCCCUGCAGCGAACUGUACCUGCUGCAGUUCCUGCUGUAGUUUUCUUGUCUGGUGGACAGAGCGAGGAGGAGGCAACCCUCAACCUGAAUGCCAUCAACCAGAUUAAGGGGAAGAAGCCAUGGACACUCUCUUUCUCUUUUGGAAGGGCACUUCAACAGAGUACCCUUAAGGCAUGGGGUGGAAAAGAAGAGAAUGUGAAGAAGGCUCAAGAAGCCUUAUUGAUAAGAGCCAAGGCUAACUCAGAGGCAACUCUUGGAACCUACAAGGGUGAUUCAAAGCUUGCUGAGGGCGCCGCAGAGAGCCUCCAUGUUGAUAACUACAAGUACUGAGAAAAGUUCGAGACUAGUGCGGGUAGGAAUCGGGUGACAACCGAAUUUCUUGCUAAU